This 222-nucleotide long non-coding RNA is filed under the name Phasianus colchicus (ring-necked pheasant). Its description in RNAcentral is "lncRNA (ENSPCLG00000004232.1)". Lineage: Eukaryota; Metazoa; Chordata; Aves; Galliformes; Phasianidae. The record is from RNAcentral.
GGUAAUGAUCAUUUCAGCAGUUAAACUGAAUCUGUAGCACCUGUGCAUCUUCUUGGGCAAAGCAGAAGUGGCUUCAGUUGUCAGGAAUUGAAUGUAUUUGACUUUCCUCCUCCUGAAGAAUGUGUAGGUUUGGAUGGCAUUCUUAAAAAGUUUCUUGCUGCUUUUGAAAAAAGAAAUAUAGAUGAGAGAGAAAGAAAGAAGGAAGAAAAAUGUGAAGACUGA